Molecule: ribosomal RNA, 420 nt
Filed under: bacterium
Lineage: Bacteria
Description: partial 16S ribosomal RNA
Rfam family: Bacterial small subunit ribosomal RNA
Source: RNAcentral
UGGGGGAUAUUGCACAAUGGGCGAAAGCCUGAUGCAGCGACGCCGCGUGGGGGAUGAAGGCUUUCGGGUUGUAAACCUCUUUCGCUAUCGAACAAGGCCCGCUUAGGGUGGGUUGAGGGUAGGUGGAGAAGAAGCGCCGGCUAACUACGUGCCAGCAGCCGCGGUAAUACGUAGGGCGCGAGCGUUGUCCGGAAUUAUUGGGCGUAAAGGGCUUGUAGGCGGCUUGUUGCGCCUGCUGUGAAAACGCGGGGCUUAACUUCGCGCGUGAAGUGGGUACGGGCAGGAUUGAGUGUGGUAGGGGUGACUGGAAUUCCAGGUGUAGCGGUGGAAUGCGCAGAUAUCUGGAGGAACACCGAUGGCGAAGGCAGGUCACUGGGCCAUUACUGACGCUGAGGAGCGAAAGCAUGGGUAGCGAACAGG